UACGGAGGAUCCAAGCGUUAUCCGGAAUCAUUGGGUUUAAAGGGUCCGUAGGUUGAUAAUUAAGUCAGAGGUGAAAGUUUGUCGCUUAACGAUAAAAUUGCCUUUGAUACUGGUUGUCUUGAGUUACAUUGAAGUAGAUGGAAUGUGUAGUGUAGCGGUGAAAUGCAUAGAUAUUACACAGAACACCGAUUGCGAAGGCAGUCUACUAAGUGUACACUGACGCUGAUGGACGAAAGCGUGGGGAGCGAACAGG
This 253-nucleotide ribosomal RNA is filed under the name uncultured bacterium. Its description in RNAcentral is "partial 16S ribosomal RNA". It matches the Rfam family "Bacterial small subunit ribosomal RNA", at positions 524 to 776 of the family's 1533-position model. The record is from RNAcentral.